RNAcentral lists this long non-coding RNA (1091 nucleotides) under Gallus gallus (chicken). RNAcentral describes it as "lncRNA (ENSGALG00010009693.1)". Lineage: Eukaryota; Metazoa; Chordata; Aves; Galliformes; Phasianidae. The record is from RNAcentral.
CACAGAGAGCAGCUCCGGCCCGGGACAAUGGUGGCAUGGGGCAGCCACAGGUUUGUGGUCUGAGGGUCGCUCCAGCCCAGCCCAGCCCGGCCGAGGCCCAGCUGUGGGGCUGGCAGAGGCCCAGGACGAGUGCCUGGAGGAGCGCCUGGUCCUGCUGAGGGUCCCACUGAGGGUCUGACUGAAGCCCAGCUGGGGGCCUGGGUGAGGGGAUGGAUGAGGCCCCUGCUGAGGGCUUACCCUGCUGAGGCCUCGUUGAGGACCCCACUGUUGACCUGGCUGUGGCCCAGUGGAGGGAUUGGCCCCACUGAGGCCCAAAGAAGGGAUUGGCCCCACUGAGGCCCAGCUGAGAGAUAUCGGCCCCACUGAGGCCCAGCUGAGAGAUAUUGGCCCCACUGAGGCCCAGCAGAGGGAUUGGCCCCACUGAGGCCCAGCAGAGGGGUUGGCCCCGCUGGGGCCCAGCUGAGGCCCGCUGUGCCAUCAGGGGGCAGCAGCACUGUGGCACUCAAUGUCACAUCUGCACAGACAUGGUGAGAGCUCUGUGUGACUCACUGCCCUGUUGCAGGGACAUGGACACACAUUCACACACCUCUGAUGGUGAAGGGCACGCAGGCACACACACACACACACACGGUGUCUGCAUGCACCGUGCCCAUGCUCUGUGGUUCAUGCCUAUGUGGCACACACACGUGGCUGCUGGUUGCAGCACUGGGCAGUGUGGGGAUGCUCCCACAUGUGUGCUUCCCCUCCCCGAUGCCCCGGCACUUGUGAGGGGAGCCCUGCCCUGCGGCGUCCUCAGGCUCAGGGGAGACCUCACCGUUCUCUACACCUCCAUGAGAGGAGGUCUGAGUGAGGUGGGGACUGGCCUUUGCUCCCGGGUAACUGUAAAAGCAUGAGAGGCGACGGCCUCAUGUUGCUUCAGGUGAGGUUCAGGUUGGAUAUUAGGGAACAUUUCUUCUCUGAAUCAGUGGUGAUGCACCAGCACAGCUGCCCAGAGAAGUGGAGGAGUCACCAUCCCGGGAGAUGUUCAAGAACUGUGGAGAUGUGGCACUGAGGGACGUGGUCAGUGGGCACGGUGGGGUGGGCUGGGGUUG